Molecule: non-coding RNA, 1972 nt
Organism: Saimiri boliviensis boliviensis (Bolivian squirrel monkey)
Lineage: Eukaryota; Metazoa; Chordata; Mammalia; Primates; Cebidae
Source: RefSeq, a predicted model, not a curated record
AACUCCCAGGGUUUCUCUGAAGACUAAAGCUCUGGGAUAAUUUAUUAUAAAAGAAGAGAAGAGUGACUCAUAAUUUUAAGCUUUUCAUUCUGGAAGUUUAAAGUACAAGAUCAGAGUGCUGGUAUCAUCAGAUUUAAUUUUGAAGUAAUGUGAAGUGCUUCUGACCCACUGCAUUAAACAUAUGCUGAGCAGUUGGUGGUAACAGAAGACAGUACUGUGAAGGCUGAUCACCACCAAUUUCAUCACUGUUGCUAACUCCACUUCAUCUAAUCUCUGCAACAUCUGUUGCCAGCACCUAUUCUUUCCUCCUUUUAUGAACUUAGGUUUUUCUUCUGGUUAGAAAAUCAGUUCAAACGUCUUGAGUAUACUUGAUGUUUUAAACUCUUCUCAACUGUUAACAUGAUUGAUGGAUGCCCAGAGGCUACCUCUUUAUCUCCAGCAAUAUAUUUGGCUAUUGGCCAGGUAGAGAAGUACUCCAGAAGCUUGCUGGUUCAUCAUGUGCUCAUUUUUAGCCACAACUAUUUAUCUGGCUCCUUCUAUCUCCACAGCACUGUGUGAGGGAUCCAUGACAAGAGAUGGUAAAACAGAUGUGCAAACAGAUAAUAACCAGGAUAUGCAGACUGAUAAAACUACUAGUGAAUAAUUUAAGAGAUCCAACAACUAUAAGAAAAAAAAGAUUGGGAACAACUUCAUGGAAAGAGUCAUCAACUAAGGCUUAAAACAUAAAAUUGACUAUUUAAAUAGAGAAGGCAGGCAAUCCGGUAAAAUAAGUGCGUAAGAGGUAGAAGACUACAUUGUUUGAAGACAUGUUGAGCCAGAAGAGCAAUAGCAUUGUGACAAAAAAGUUCACUGUAGAUUGCAGAAGAUCUUAAAUCACAAAUCAAGGGGUAGAGACUUGCUUUUACUCUCAUAUACUAAAUAGUCCUUUCAGGUAUAUAGUGCCCAAUGUAAGAGAGAAGGAUAAAGACUUUUUUAAACCCAAGUACUUAGUUGUAGGCCUUGGAAAAAAAGUUUUCAGGUAACAAGAUAACAUGAAUAAUUUUCUGUGGUUAUAAGCUCAAAGUAGUGUAUUUAAUUCAGUUGUCCCAGAACCACCAAAACCUUGGAACCAUUGUUUAACUAAAUCUACUAGAACAACAGAAUAAUCUAUUUCAUGGUACUGUAAAGUAAAACUAUACUGUAUGCAAAUACUUGACAUAAAAUCCAUUUCCAAACUCAAUUAUUAGGAAUAACAUAAGCAUAAAAUGAUGCUUUGCAAACAUCAUGUAACCUAUCAUUCGAGUCAAAAAAAUCAAUAAAAUGACAUCACUGAGUUCUGAAACUACAUCUCAAUUUAAACCUAAGCAAGUUAAUAUACAGCAUUCUUCAAAAUCAAUUGUUGAAGGUUAACUAUAAUCUACAUACAAAACAACGUUGUCACCUUUUUAUGGAUUUUCCUUCUAAACAUAUUUACUGCAUAAAAUUAAAAAUUUUCCUGAGUUAAAGGGUAAGACUUGACUUUACGAAUACAUGACCCAAAUUUGAUGGUGGCUCGUUUCUGUUUUUAUUUUUACUUCUUAAGCUUAGUAUAAUGGUUGUCCAGAACUUAUAAGCAACGACCUCAUUUCUAAGUGGACAAGGUGCAAAAGACCAUUUUUUACAGAUUAACCACCUGAUUCCUUUUGGGAGACUAAUAUUUCAACAGGUUCCUGUAUUUCAAGAAUAUAAAUGAUGAAAAAGAUAUGUGAAAUACACAAAUAAAAAAAUAGAGAAAAUAAUAUUUCAAGCAAAUUAUCCUAGCUCCCUCAAUUAACCUUUUAAAACCAUGACAAUCCAUUAUUAAUAUAAAUUAUUAAUUUUAUUAAAUACAACACAAAUAUAAUUCAUACCAUCAUAUGCAACUAGGUGGUCCAUCAUUUUGGACUUUCUUUCUACCUCUGGAGAAUUGCUCAGGAAAUCUGGCUACCAUACCAAAUAAACCAAAUGGAUUUAA